AAGGCGAGGCCGAAAGGCGUAGUCGAUGGGAAACGGGUUAAUAUUCCCGUACUUGGUGUUACUGCGAAGGGGGGACGGAGAAGGCUAUGUUGGCCGGGCGACGGUUGUCCCGGUUUAAGCGUGUAGGCUGGUUUUCCAGGCAAAUCCGGAAAAUCAAGGCUGAGGCGUGACGACGAGGCACUACGGUGCUGAAGCAACAAAUGCCCUGCUUCCAGGAAAAGCCUCUAAGCAUCAGGUAACA
RNAcentral lists this ribosomal RNA (241 nucleotides) under Salmonella enterica subsp. enterica serovar Saintpaul. RNAcentral describes it as "partial 23S ribosomal RNA". It matches the Rfam family "Bacterial large subunit ribosomal RNA", at positions 1393 to 1636 of the family's 2925-position model. The record is from RNAcentral. Lineage: Bacteria; Pseudomonadati; Pseudomonadota; Gammaproteobacteria; Enterobacterales; Enterobacteriaceae.